This 496-nucleotide ribosomal RNA is filed under the name uncultured bacterium. RNAcentral describes it as "partial 16S ribosomal RNA". It matches the Rfam family "Bacterial small subunit ribosomal RNA", at positions 28 to 506 of the family's 1533-position model. The record is from RNAcentral.
GAUGAACGCUGGCGGCGUGCCUAAUACAUGCAAGUCGAGCGAACAGACGAGGAGCUUGCUCCUCUGACGUUAGCGGCGGACGGGUGAGUAACACGUGGAUAACCUACCUAUAAGACUGGGAUAACUUCGGGAAACCGGAGCUAAUACCGGAUAAUAUAUUGAACCGCAUGGUUCAAUAGUGAAAGACGGUUUUGCUUUCACUUAUAGAUGGAUCCGCGCCGCAUUAGCUAGUUGGUAAGGUAACGGCUUACCAAGGCAACGAUGCGUAGCCGACCUGAGAGGGUGAUCGGCCACACUGGAACUGAGACACGGUCCAGACUCCUACGGGAGGCAGCAGGAGGGAAUCUUCCGCAAUGGGCGAAAGCCUGACGGAGCAACGCCGCGUGAGUGAUGAAGGUCUUCGGAUCGUAAAACUCUGUUAUUAGGGAAGAACAAAUGUGUAAGUAACUAUGCACGUCUUGACGGUACCUAAUCAGAAAGCCACGGCUAACUACGU